CUCUCCUAAGCUUCAGCUUACGCAGACCGUACCGUAAACCGACACAGGUGGGUAGGAUGAGAAUUCUCAGGCGCUUGAGAGAACUCGGGUGAAGGAACUAGGCAAAAUAGCACCGUAACUUCGGGAGAAGGUGCGCCUCUUCUGGUUAAUAGCUGGGGGAGGCCGAAGUGACCAGGCCGCUGCGACUGUUUAUCAAAAACACAGCACUCUGCAAACACGAAAGUGGACGUAUAGGGUGUGACGCCUGCCCGGUGCUGGAAGGUUAAUUGAUGGGGUCAGCCGCAAGGCGAAGCUCUUGAUCGAAGCCCCAGUAAACGGCGGCCGUAACAAUAACGGUCCUAAGGUAGCGAAAUUCCUUGUCGGGUAAGUUCCGACCUGCACGAAUGGCGUAACGACAGCGGCGCUGUCUCCACCCGAGACUCAGUGAAAUUGAAAUCGCUGUGAAGAUGCAGCGUACCCGUGGCAAGACGGAAAGACCCCGUGAACCUUUACUAUAGCUUUACAUUGAACGUUGAGUUCGUCUGUGUAGGAUAGGUGGGAGGCUUUGAAGCGAUGGCGCUAGCUGUCGUGGAGCCAACCUUGAAAUACCACCCUGUCGUGCUUGACGUUCUAACCUAGCUCCGUAAUCCGGAGCGGGGACCAUGUAUGGUGGGUAGUUUGACUGGGGCGGUCUCCUCCCAAAGAGUAACGGAGGAGCACGAAGGUACGCUCAGCGCGGUCGGACAUCGCGCACUGUGUGCAAAGGCAUAAGCGUGCUUGACUGCGAGAUCGACGGAUCAAGCAGGUACGAAAGUAGGUCUUAGUGAUCCGGUGGUUCUGUAUGGAAGGGCCAUCGCUCAACGGAUAAAAGGUACUCCGGGGAUAACAGGCUGAUACCGCCCAAGAGUUCAUAUCGACGGCGGUGUUUGGCACCUCGAUGUCGGCUCAUCACAUCCUGGGGCUGUAGUCGGUCCCAAGGGUAUGGCUGUUCGCCAUUUAAAGUGGUACGCGAGCUGGGUUCAGAACGUCGUGAGACAGUUCGGUCCCUAUCUGCCAUGGGCGUUGGAGAUUUGAGAGGGGCUGCUCCUAGUACGAGAGGACCGGAGUGGACGAACCUCUGGUGUUCCGGUUGUCACGCCAGUGGCACUGCCGGGUAGCUACGUUCGGAAGCGAUAACCGCUGAAAGCAUCUAAGCGGGAAGCGCGCCUCAAGAUGAGAUCUCCCUGGACACAAGUCCCCUAAAGGAACGAUGAAGACUACGUCGUUGAUAGGUCAGGUGUGUAAGUGCAGUAAUGCAUUGAGCUAACUGAUACUAAUGAUCCGUGCGGCUUGACCAA
Molecule: ribosomal RNA, 1316 nt
Filed under: metagenome
Description: bacterial LSU rRNA
Rfam family: Bacterial large subunit ribosomal RNA
Source: RNAcentral